GCCUAUGACCAAGCUACCCAGAAUGCACCCAAUCUCAUGAGAUCUCAGAAGCUAAGCAGGGUUUAGCCUAGAUAGUGCUUGGAUGAGCAACCGCAAUACGUACACCAGGUGCUGUCGGCU
RNAcentral lists this ribosomal RNA (120 nucleotides) under Petromyzon marinus (sea lamprey). Lineage: Eukaryota; Metazoa; Chordata; Hyperoartia; Petromyzontiformes; Petromyzontidae. The record is from RNAcentral.